Molecule: ribosomal RNA, 520 nt
Filed under: uncultured bacterium
Lineage: Bacteria
Description: bacterial SSU rRNA
Rfam family: Archaeal small subunit ribosomal RNA
Source: RNAcentral
AACCUCCGCAAUGUGAGAAAUCGCGACGGGGGGAUCCCAAGUGCCAUUCUUAACGGGAUGGCUUUUCAUUAGUGUAAAGAGCUUUUGGAAUAAGAGCUGGGCAAGACCGGUGCCAGCCGCCGCGGUAACACCGGCAGCUCUAGUGGUAGCAAUUUUUAUUGGGCCUAAAGCGUCCGUAGCCGGUUUAAUAAGUCUCUGGUGAAAUCCUGUAGCUUAACUGUGGGAAUUGCUGGAGAUACUAUUAGACUUGAGACCGGGAGAGGUUAGAGGUACUCCCAGGGUAGAGGUGAAAUUCUGUAAUCCUGGGAGGACCGCCUGUUGCGAAGGCGUCUAACUGGAACGGUUCUGACGGUGAGGGACGAAAGUUAGGGGCGCGAACCGGAUUAGAUACCCGGGUAGUCCUAACUGUAAACGAUGCGGACUUGGUGUUGGGGUGGCUUUGAGCUGCUCCAGUGCCGAAGGGAAGCUGUUAAGUCCGCCGCCUGGAAGUACGGUCGCAAGACUGAAACUUAAAGGAAUU